GACGAACGCUGGCGGCGUGCCUAACACAUGCAAGUCGAACGAAGCUUUUGAUUUCGGUUGAGAGCUUAGUGGCGGACGGGUGAGUAACGCGUGAGUAACCUGCCUUACAGAGGGGGAUAACGUCUGGAAACGGACGCUAAUACCGCAUGACAUUUCUUUAUCACAUGGUAAAGAAAUCAAAGGAGCAAUCCGCUGUAAGAUGGACUCGCGUCCGAUUAGCUAGAUGGUGAGAUAACAGCCCACCAUGGCGACGAUCGGUAGCCGGACUGAGAGGUUGAACGGCCACAUUGGGACUGAGACACGGCCCAGACUCCUACGGGAGGCAGCAGUGGGGGAUAUUGCACAAUGGAGGAAACUCUGAUGCAGCAACGCCGCGUGAAGGAUGAAGGUCUUCGGAUUGUAAACUUUUGUACUUGGGGACGAUAAUGACGGUACCCAAGCAGCAAGCUCCGGCUAACUACGUG
This 464-nucleotide ribosomal RNA is filed under the name uncultured organism. RNAcentral's name for it is "bacterial SSU rRNA". It matches the Rfam family "Bacterial small subunit ribosomal RNA", at positions 28 to 507 of the family's 1533-position model. The record is from RNAcentral.